RNAcentral lists this long non-coding RNA (1381 nucleotides) under Vulpes vulpes (red fox). Its description in RNAcentral is "lncRNA (ENSVVUG00000019084.1)". The record is from RNAcentral. Lineage: Eukaryota; Metazoa; Chordata; Mammalia; Carnivora; Canidae.
UAUUUCAACAUUCAGACGCAUUUAAAUACACUUAACCAUAGAGCUCCUAAAUGCCCUUUCCUCACCCACAGUCAUCAACAUACUUCCCAAGACAUUGCAUGACCAGUGGCAUAAACUCCAUACUGGGCCCCUCACUCAUGAUUUGGAGAGCGUCUGUCAUAUUUUUUCACUCUCUGUUUUUUCUCACUUCUGAUGUGGAUUAAAGUCUGUGCUCACAGCUCUCUCCAAUAGUUUGAGGAUAUUUGAUCCUUGAGUAUUUAUCCAUUAUUGGCUCUGUUUACCCAAGGGAAAAUUAAGUGCAGGGCCUUAGAACAGUGAGCGCUUUAAUACACGGAUGCAUAUGCUGAUCUCUGACAGAUGUUGGUCUUUGGGAACAACAGAAGGGUAGCUACGUCAUUCGCUUGGGAAGCUGCUUGUGCAAACUGAUCCUGCAGGUGCCCAGGCAGCGUGGCGAGAGCAGCCUGCAGUGCUGAGAAAAAUGUCUGGUGCAGUGACAACUCCCGAAAUAUUACGGUUUUUCACACACAUCCCCCAGCCAGCUGGCAGAGGAUUCUGAACAGUGCCUUGAGCCUCUUGGAAACAAAGUGUCAUCUUGGUGAACAUGCCACUUUUCUAUUGCCCUGAGUCAGUAUGUGUGAGGAGCAAGCCUGCGCCACUGUCCUGAAAGGAUGCUGAGACCCAGGCCGUCUUAUUCUCCUCAGAACGCCUCACUGUAGGCCUUGGAAAUGCAAUCCUUAUGGAGCAUAUGCUCGAUUACCUUCACAGAGGAUCAAGACUGUACUCCUAUUCCCAUAUUUCAAAUGAUAAUUUUUCUUGAUUAUGUGUGAAAUACGCUUAUCUGUGGAGGCCUGGAUCAGUUAUGACUGUGCCCACAGUUCACAUCUGCAGGAGGAAACUCUUUGGGUUUUUGUGGAGUUGGAGGACUCAGAACUAACUUCAUCCAGAGAGGGCUCUGCACCACUUCUCUCAGAGACUUGGGAUGUUGGGACUGGUCCUAGAUUAUCAACACUGCUGAGGAACCAGCAGUGUACAUUCUGGCGCCGAGCUAGUCAAUAUGUGGACAGGAUACAUGGAGGGAAUGACGAGCCACUUGGCUGUGGAGAAGGCAUGAAAAGGAUGGCAACCUCAUCAUGGGUCUUCAAGCAGGGUGACACAAUUUGGUCUCCUUUUCUCUCCUCCCCCCUCAGCAGCAAAAGAGUAGAUGGGACCACAUGCCACCUCCACACCAGGCCUCUCCCACCUGAGCUGGCUUGGGGAUGAAUAAAGCUUGAAAUAGAUAUGAGGUUCAAGUUAAAAAAAAAAAAAAAGAGCAACUGGAGUACAUUUGAAGAACUAAAAGAAAACAUUUAAUAAAUUGAAGUAACUCACGAAGAUGGACUCA